UACGAAGGGGGCUAGCGUUGCUCGGAAUGACUGGGCGUAAAGGGCGCGUAGGCGGCUUACAUCGUCAGAUGUGAAAUUCCUGGGCUUAACCUGGGGGCUGCAUUUGAUACGUGUGGGCUUGAGUGGGGAAGAGGGUCGUGGAAUUCCCAGUGUAGAGGUGAAAUUCGUAGAUAUUGGGAAGAACACCGGUGGCGAAGGCGGCGACCUGGUCCUUGACUGACGCUGAGGCGCGAAAGCGUGGGGAGCAAACAGG
RNAcentral lists this ribosomal RNA (253 nucleotides) under uncultured bacterium. RNAcentral describes it as "partial 16S ribosomal RNA". It matches the Rfam family "Bacterial small subunit ribosomal RNA", at positions 524 to 776 of the family's 1533-position model. The record is from RNAcentral.